UCUGAAACCAGGAGAGAGGAGAGAAGCGCUCAGAGACCGCCGGCCGCGUGCUCAGCCGCCCAGGCCCCCGCGGGGGGCAGUUGCGAGCCGGAGAGGCCGGGCAGUUCAUAGCGUGCGGGGCGCCGGGACCGCCAUCAGGAGGUCCUCUCUGCCCUUUUGUCGCCUGCGAGAUCUAGAGGAAGUCCAACGUAAUCUCUGCGGGACCCAGUUUCCUCAUGCGUGAACACGGGGACCAGCACUAAUCACCUCUGGGGUCCCUUGGAGCUUCACUCUGGGGGAAAUCCCCGAGCAAACCCGAGUUCCUGCCGUGGGGGUGGGAGGCGCUGGGUGGGCGGUCCCAAGCGUGGGGUGGGGGGUGUCCGAGGCGGCGCGCACGGUCCCAGUGCCCCCCCCCGCCCCCUCCCCCCGUGCAAGUAGGGCGAGACACUGGUACACCUGUUAGCGGGGCCCUGAGAGGGGAAGCGCGACCGUUUAUAUAAAGCACUCCGCUCCCCAACUGACUGGUCCGGGGCUUCCCUCCUUGCGAGAGGGUCCGCCGGAGUUUGGCUGGUCCUGAAACUCCAGGCGGUUUGAAUUAAAACUGUGAAACCAAA
This is a long non-coding RNA of Sarcophilus harrisii (Tasmanian devil), 593 nucleotides long. RefSeq lists it as uncharacterized. NCBI's taxonomy places the organism in Eukaryota, Metazoa, Chordata, Mammalia, Dasyuromorphia, Dasyuridae. The record is from RefSeq and is a predicted model, not a curated record. The transcript is spliced from 2 exons.